ACGAUGAAGAGUUUGAUCCUGGCUCAGGAUGAACGCUAGCGGCAGGCCUAACACAUGCAAGUCGAGGGGUAACAGGGAGAAGCUUGCUUUUCCGCUGACGACCGGCGCACGGGUGCGUAACGCGUAUACAAUCUGCCUUAUACUGGGGUAUAGCCUUUAGAAAUGAAGAUUAAUCCCCCAUAGUCUCUUAGAGUGGCAUCAUUUUAGGAGUAAAGGUUACGGUAUAAGAUGAGUAUGCGUUCUAUUAGUUUGUUGGUGAGGUAACGGCUCACCAAGGCUACGAUAGAUAGGGGCCCUGAGAGGGGGAUCCCCCACACUGGUACUGAGACACGGACCAGACUCCUACGGGAGGCAGCAGUGAGGAAUAUUGGACAAUGGAGGCAACUCUGAUCCAGCCAUGCCGCGUGCAGGAAGACUGCCCUAUGGGUUGUAAACUGCUUUUAUAUAGGAAGAAACCUACUUACGUGUAAGUAGCUGACGGUACUAUAAGAAUAAGGAUCGGCUAACUCCGUGCCAGCAGCCGCGGUAAUACGGAGGAUCCAAGCGUUAUCCGGAAUCAUUGGGUUUAAAGGGUCCGUAGGUGGAUAAUUAAGUCAGAGGUGAAAUCUUGCAGCUCAACUGUAAAAUUGCCUUUGAUACUGGUUAUCUUGAGUUAUUAUGAAGUAGUUAGAAUAUGUAGUGUAGCGGUGAAAUGCAUAGAUAUUACAUAGAAUACCAAUUGCGAAGGCAGAUUACUAAUAAUCAACUGACACUGAUGGACGAAAGCGUGGGUAGCGAACAGGAUUAGAUACCCUGGUAGUCCACGCCGUAAACGAUGGUUACUAGCUGUUUGGACCUUGUGUCUGAGUGGCUAAGCGAAAGUGAUAAGUAACCCACCUGGGGAGUACGUUCGCAAGAAUGAAACUCAAAGGAAUUGACGGGGGCCCGCACAAGCGGUGGAGCAUGUGGUUUAAUUCGAUGAUACGCGAGGAACCUUACCAGGGCUUAAAUGUAAGUUGCAUUAGUUAGAGAUAGCUAUUUCUUCGGACCACUUACAAGGUGCUGCAUGGUUGUCGUCAGCUCGUGCCGUGAGGUGUCAGGUUAAGUCCUAUAACGAGCGCAACCCCUGUUGUUAGUUGCCAGCGAGUCAUGUCGGGAACUCUAACAAGACUGCCGGUGCAAACCGUGAGGAAGGUGGGGAUGACGUCAAAUCAUCACGGCCCUUACGUCCUGGGCUACACACGUGCUACAAUGGUCGGUACAGAGAGCAGCCACUACGCGAGUAGGAGCGAAUCUUCAAAGCCGAUCACAGUUCGGAUCGGAGUCUGCAACUCGACUCCGUGAAGCUGGAAUCGCUAGUAAUCGGAUAUCAGCCAUGAUCCGGUGAAUACGUUCCCGGGCCUUGUACACACCGCCCGUCAAGCCAUGGAAGUUGGGAGUGCCUGAAGUCCGUUACCGCAAGGAGCGGCCUAGGGUAAAAUCGAUAACUAGGGCUAAGUCGUAACAAGGUAGCCGUACCGGAAGGUGCGGCUGGAACACCUCCUUU
Ribosomal RNA from Formosa sp. Hel3_A1_48, 1525 nucleotides. It matches the Rfam family "Bacterial small subunit ribosomal RNA". The record is from Rfam. NCBI's taxonomy places the organism in Bacteria, Pseudomonadati, Bacteroidota, Flavobacteriia, Flavobacteriales, Flavobacteriaceae.